RNAcentral lists this ribosomal RNA (464 nucleotides) under uncultured bacterium. RNAcentral describes it as "partial 16S ribosomal RNA". It matches the Rfam family "Bacterial small subunit ribosomal RNA", at positions 338 to 795 of the family's 1533-position model. The record is from RNAcentral.
CCUACGGGUGGCAGCAGUAGGGAAUUUUCGUCAAUGGGCGCAAGCCUGAACGAGCAAUGCCGCGUGAACGAGGAAGGUCUUCGGAUCGUUAAGCUCUGUUGAAGGGGAAAAAAAGCGGAGAGAGGAAAUGGUUUCUGAUUGAUAUUACCAUUCGAGGAAGUCACGGCUAACUACGUGCCAGCAGCCGCGGUAAUACGUAGGUGGCGAGCGUUAUACGGAGUGAUUGGGGUUAAAGGGUGCGUAGGCGGACUGCUAAGUCUGGAGUGAAAGGUACCGGCUCAACCGGUACAGGCUCUGGAAACUGGCGAGCUAGAGAGCAGGAGAGGGAGGUGGAAUGCAAGGUGUAGCGGUAAAAUGCGUAGAUAUCUGGAAGAACACCAGUGGCGAAGGCGGCCGCCUGGCCUGUUACUGACGCUGAGGCACGAAAGCGUGGGGAGCAAAUAGGAUUAGAUACCCGAGUAGUC